ACUGCUGGAUCAUUCUGGUUCAAGGUUAACUGCCCUUGCGCUUGCUGCUUCCCCUCCCCUGCUACUUUCACUGGUUCAACCCCAUACCAUAGGCAAUUGGCACAGGAUCUGAUGCCCUAACUUCGGCUACUAGCUUUGAUGCUGCUUCUCGCACCCCUUCCCCAGAUGCUGGGUAGCCUAGGCCUGAAGCGACUAGCUUAGUUAUCCUAAAAACACCAUAUGGAUUUUGCAGGAAUGUCAUUAGGCGAGGUGCUGGGUAAGAUGCUGAUCGAAUUGGCAAAAAUGUUAGCUUGGACUCGUCCCCUGGGAUUUACUAUUCGCCUUUCCCUGAUGGUUCUACAUUCCAAUGUGGGUAGGAUUAGCCGACAGCGGAUGAGCGACCUGGGAGAGCCUUGAAUGGACUUGGCCUGAGGGACCUUACCCUACACCUUAUAUAAAC
Molecule: long non-coding RNA, 439 nt
Filed under: Amborella trichopoda
Lineage: Eukaryota; Viridiplantae; Streptophyta; Magnoliopsida; Amborellales; Amborellaceae
Description: long non-coding RNA (ATRI_LNC003384)
Source: RNAcentral